GAGGAGAGGAGCUGGCGCAGGUGUUCAUGGCGAUGCUCUUCGUGGUAUGGAGUGGGCGUCUUGUGGAUGUCUGUCUCUUGGGGUGCGAUGUUGUGUACAGCGCCCGUGGCACAUACAGAAGUGGGGCUCAGACACCCACAAGGCUUGAGGCUUCCUGGGAACUCAGAAUCGAGGUUGAGCCACUUUGACAGGGUUCUUUGAGGGGCAGGGGUCCCCUUACCUCUGGAUCACACCACACUGGGCAGAGCGCUUCAUGGCAUCCAGGAGGAAGUUACUUGUUCACGCUACAGUGCUGGAGAGUGGAAACCCAGGGGCCACGAAUUUGGACCGACGGAGGUGACAGUGUUUGGCUGAACCCACUGAGGGAGGAUGAGGCCACUGCCCUGGAGACCUCCAGGGUUGAGCGGGGAGCCGGGCUGGGAGUCACACAGGCUCAGGCCUAUCUCCACCACCCUGUGGGACCUCGGACACAUCAUUGCAGCUCUCAGGGCCUCAGUGUUUUUAUUUGGGCAUUGAAGACGUGAACAGACCUGUCUGUCAGUAGCGGGACACGGUUAUGACCAGCUGUGGGGGAGAAGAGGCCUCCAGAGGCCUCUCCGCCCUUCAAAAUUGCAUGGGCUAUGGGGAGAGUCUGCAAAUGGCACAGGGAGGGCCGUGCUCCCAGCAGCCCCUUCAGUACUUCCCCCCUCCUUCUUCGUAUGAGCUCUUUCUUUGACAGAACUCCUUGCUCCUCACAACCCUCUCUGGUCAUAUUUAUUUUAUUCUAUGACUUUGAUCUGUAAAAUGCCUGGAAAAUCCUUUCUCAGAAGGUGCUGGCUUCUGCCUCACUCGUUAGCAGUAAAACGCGGUGUUAAACAUUU
This is a non-coding RNA of Macaca mulatta (Rhesus monkey), 860 nucleotides long. The record is from RefSeq and is a predicted model, not a curated record. Lineage: Eukaryota; Metazoa; Chordata; Mammalia; Primates; Cercopithecidae.